Molecule: small nuclear RNA, 190 nt
Organism: Gopherus evgoodei (Goodes thornscrub tortoise)
Lineage: Eukaryota; Metazoa; Chordata; Testudines; Testudinidae
Gene: U2
Rfam family: U2 spliceosomal RNA
About the family: U2 is a small nuclear RNA (snRNA) component of the spliceosome (involved in pre-mRNA splicing).
Source: Ensembl
CUUGAUUUUAAACAUUAGCUUUAAUACAAUUUUUAUAUCUGUUCUUAUCAGUUUAAUAUCUGAUACAUCUUCUAUUAUAGGACUAUAUAUUAAAUGGAUUAUUGGAACAGGGAGAUGGAAUAGGAGCUUGCUCCAUCCACUCCUUGCAUCUAUCUGGUAUUGCAGUAUCACCAGGAAUGGUGCACCUCCC